Molecule: ribosomal RNA, 465 nt
Filed under: Vreelandella stevensii
Lineage: Bacteria; Pseudomonadati; Pseudomonadota; Gammaproteobacteria; Oceanospirillales; Halomonadaceae
Description: partial 16S ribosomal RNA
Rfam family: Bacterial small subunit ribosomal RNA
Source: RNAcentral
CCUACGGGUGGCAGCAGUGGGGAAUAUUGGACAAUGGGGGGAACCCUGAUCCAGCCAUGCCGCGUGUGUGAAGAAGGCCCUCGGGUUGUAAAGCACUUUCAGUGAGGAAGAACGCCUGGUGGUUAAUACCCAUCAGGAAAGACAUCACUCACAGAAGAAGCACCGGCUAACUCCGUGCCAGCAGCCGCGGUAAUACGGAGGGUGCGAGCGUUAAUCGGAAUUACUGGGCGUAAAGCGCGCGUAGGUGGCUUGAUAAGCCGGUUGUGAAAGCCCCGGGCUCAACCUGGGAACGGCAUCCGGAACUGUCAAGCUAGAGUGCAGGAGAGGAAGGUAGAAUUCCCGGUGGAGCGGUGAAAUGCGUAGAGAUCGGGAGGAAUACCAGUGGCGAAGGCGGCCUUCUGGACUGACACUGACACUGAGGUGCGAAAGCGUGGGUAGCAAACAGGAUUAGAUACCCGAGUAGUC